RNAcentral lists this small nuclear RNA (169 nucleotides) under Mandrillus leucophaeus (drill). RNAcentral's name for it is "U1 spliceosomal RNA (ENSMLEG00000004382.1)". It matches the Rfam family "U1 spliceosomal RNA". Rfam says of the family: U1 is a small nuclear RNA (snRNA) component of the spliceosome (involved in pre-mRNA splicing). Its 5' end forms complementary base pairs with the 5' splice junction, thus defining the 5' donor site of an intron. There are significant differences in sequence and secondary structure between metazoan and yeast U1 snRNAs, the latter being much longer (568 nucleotides as compared to 164 nucleotides in human). Lineage: Eukaryota; Metazoa; Chordata; Mammalia; Primates; Cercopithecidae. The record is from Rfam by way of RNAcentral.
GUUCUUAUUUGGCCGGGGGUUUACCAUGAUCACGAAGGUGGUUUUCGUUAAAGCUAGGUUUUUCCGUUGUGUUUUGGAUGUGUAUAUUGAUCCUUGUGAUUUCCGCAAAUGUGGGAAACUCGACUGCGUACUUUGUGGUAGUGGGGGACUGCGUUGGCGCUUUCUUCUG